GGCAGUGUGGGCUGCGCUUGGGCGCCGCGGUGGGUAAUCGGGCCGCGGGGGCGCGAGGCUGACGGGGAAGGAAGAGAGUUGUCCGGGAAGGCGAGGGGCGGGCGGCAGGUGGGGGUCAGGCCCCGGGGGUCGGCCCGAUGCUGUGUCGCAGUGUGGCCUCGGGGGCCGGGGGGCCGCGGUUUCUCAUUUCCUGAUGGGGAAACUGAGGCCCUGAGAGGGGCUGCAGAGGCAGGUAAACCGGAACCUAGUCCCUCACCCACAGACAUUUUAAAAUCGUAAUAUUAGGUAAUUUACAUCCUAAUAUUAGCUGAGAAAGCAUUAGAAUUCUCUCUAAACUGAAUACGUAAAAUACGGCUUUCGUUGACUACCCUGUCAGGCUCACCGACUCUGGGCUUCUCUUUUUGGGGUCCACAACUUCUUUGUACAAGUCCACAGCCCCUUAUUUUAAAGCUCCGAGGCUAGAUGUGUUCACAAUCCCGAAUUUCUAGGAUUCUCGAAAGGUAAUUUGGGGCAUAUAUUAUAUGUCCUGUCCUGUCUUCCUUGGGGUCUCCGGCAGCGUCUUGUCAUCAGAUACAUUACUUUUUUUUCACAGCUGAAUAGAUGCAUAUUCCCAGUAAGAAGGUAAACAACAAGCAUGAAUAGUCUCACCUGAAGCCAGAUGGGGUUUUCAAACUUAAAGGAUUUGUUUUUGAGAACUUUUUAGAUUUAAGCGUUGCACGUAAAACCUGGAAUCAUAAUUUUGUUGAUCCACUCAUAUUUUGCCCUUGUUUGGACUGGGGGUGUGGCAGUUUCUAACCAUGCUUUUGUAUGGUCACUCCCUGUCUCCAUCACUAACUCUGUGUGGCCUUGUGCCCUCUCAGCCUCUGUUUCCUCAUCUGAAAAAUGGGGUCAGUAAUGCUUUCCUCAUAAGGUUCUGGGGAGGAUUAAAUAGGACUGUGCACAGGAAGCAUGCACAUAUAUAUCUCGCUCUUGGCACAGAUGGUUCUAUUUGAGGUUUGCUUGUUCUGCAGACAUUCUAUUUUUAAAUGAUUUGGGUACCUAGGAGUUCCCCUGGUGGCUCAGCAGGUUAAGAACCAGACCAGCGAAGAUGCAGGUUCAAUUCCUGGCCUUGCUCAUGGGUUAAGGAUCCGGCGUUGCCGUGAGCUGGGAUGUAGGUCACAGAUGCAGCUCAGAUGCUGCGAUGCUGUGGCUGUGGUGUAGGCCGACAGCUGCGGCUCCAAUUCAACCCCUAGCCUGGGAACUUCCGUAUGCCGUGGGUGCGGCCCUAGAAAGCAAAAAUCAAUGAAUAAAUAAAUACAUAAAAAGGAUGAUAUACUAUGACCCAGUGUAGUUCAUCCCAAGAAUGCGGAGUUGGUUUAGCAUUUGGAGAUCAAUGUAAUUCUCAUAGCAACAAGCUGAAAAAGAAAACCGUAUGAUCAUCUCAAUAGGUGCGGAAAAAGCAUCUGACAACAGGCAACACCUCCCCUGGCAUGAUGCCGCGGAAGUGCCUUACAGCAAACUCAGGAGAUCCUCAGGAGCGGGAUAUGAGCACAAUAAGGGACAUCAGGGCACAGAGCAGCAGCGGAGAAUCAGCCAGGGUCUGCCCAGACUUGAGAAAUCCAACAUCUGUUCCUGAUAGAAAACCCUCAGCAAGUCGGGAAAGAAGGGAACUUCCUUGACUUGAUAAAGCGGAUCUGUGUGGAACUACAGCUAACACACUUGAUUGUGAGAGACUGAUGACUCUUUCCCCCCUACUAUCAGGAGCAAGACAGGAAGGUCGCUUCUCAUCACUGCCGUUCACUGUUGCACCAGUUCACCAGUGUUCUGUUCACCGGUGCACUCAGGCUCUCGCCAGUGCACUCAGGCAAGGGAAAGAAAAAAAAAAAA
This 1866-nucleotide long non-coding RNA is filed under the name Sus scrofa (pig). RNAcentral's name for it is "lncRNA (ENSSSCG00065045677.1)". Lineage: Eukaryota; Metazoa; Chordata; Mammalia; Artiodactyla; Suidae. The record is from RNAcentral.